GUGAUUAAACUGUUGCCCUCUGUGCUGGCUCUGCAAGUGCACGUCGGUGACUUUCAUUCCAAUACCCUUGUGAACCUUUGGCCUCUUGCUAGCUUCGGCUGGCAGAGGAUUCUACAUACAAACUCGCAUGUAAUGAAACUCUUGUUGUGCACAAGCACUACUAUA
Molecule: unclassified non-coding RNA, 165 nt
Filed under: uncultured Sebacina
Lineage: Eukaryota; Fungi; Basidiomycota; Agaricomycetes; Sebacinales; Sebacinaceae
Description: sequence contains ITS1
Source: RNAcentral